AGUGAACGCUGGCGGUAGGCCUAACACAUGCGAGUCGAACGGCAGCACAGUAAGAGCUUGCUCUUACGGGUGGCGAGUGGCGGACGGGUGAGGAAUACAUCGGAAUCUACUUUUUCGUGGGGGAUAACGUAGGGAAACUUACGCUAAUACCGCAUACGACCUACGGGUGAAAGCAGGGGAUCUUCGGACCUUGCGCGAUUGAAUGAGCCGAUGUCGGAUUAGCUAGUUGGCGGGGUAAAGGCCCACCAAGGCGACGAUCCGUAGCUGGUCUGAGAGGAUGAUCAGCCACACUGGAACUGAGACACGGUCCAGACUCCUACGGGAGGCAGCAGUGGGGAAUAUUGGACAAUGGGCGCAAGCCUGAUCCAGCCAUACCGCGUGGGUGAAGAAGGACUUCGGGUUGUAAAGCCCUUUUGUUGGGAAAGAAAAGCAGCAGGUUAAUACCCCGCUGUUCUGACGGUACCCAAAGAAUAAGCACCGGCUAACUUCGUG
This 492-nucleotide ribosomal RNA is filed under the name uncultured bacterium. RNAcentral describes it as "partial 16S ribosomal RNA". It matches the Rfam family "Bacterial small subunit ribosomal RNA", at positions 29 to 507 of the family's 1533-position model. The record is from RNAcentral.